This 4908-nucleotide long non-coding RNA is filed under the name Sus scrofa (pig). RNAcentral describes it as "lncRNA (ENSSSCG00000056470.1)". Lineage: Eukaryota; Metazoa; Chordata; Mammalia; Artiodactyla; Suidae. The record is from RNAcentral.
UUUCACUUCUUCCUCUGCCUAAUCCUGCCUUCCCUGCCUUUUGUUCACAGCCAUUAUUCUCUUAAAAAAACACAUCUUGUUCCCAACAUCCAUCUAAGUGUCUCCUCUAGAGAACUCAUUCCAUUUCAAGCUCUGAAGGGAUCUCGGAGACAGAGAUGAAGACUGCCUUCCAGUCCCUGCAGCUGAUGCUCAGACAGCAACUUGCAGGUAAGGGACUGUCCUGAAGCCACCCCUGGUGACAGGUAGGGAAAGCAGGGCUGCCAUAUGGCAAGUAGAGAGAGAAACUCUGACCUAGAGUUUGCAAAGCAGAGCCCUUUCAGGGACUGAUGGAUCCUUGGCUGUAAAGGUUUGGAGCAUACAGGACAGGCACAGCCUGCUAACAUUGGACACAGGUGUGGUACACAGAGUCCAGGAGAGAGCAUAGUAAGAAGCUGAGGAGAGAUCUGCAGAUGACAGUGGCAGGCCCUGUGUUUACCUGGCCUGUUGAUUUGUCUGUCUCACCUCCCUGCCCACUUACCCUGGCUCUUUCCAUGGCAGUGACUACGUGCUGCUCCUUGUGAUCACUACAGUAGCCAGCAUAGAGCAUAUAUGUAGGAAACAUGUUCGUAGAAAGACUAAAUAAAAAAAAAAAACAGUACUUAAAGUAGCCAAGAAGGAGGCCCUUUAGCUCAGAUGAGCCCUAAGCUUUUCAGUAAUACCUCAAGAAUCAGCGUGGACUCCUGGAGGUGGUCAGUAAUAAGAGUGGCACCAGUGAUCACUGGGGUGAUUUGGUGGAACAAGAGUUUCAAGGAAUCUGUGUAUGGCUUUGGUUAAAAACCACGGGGGUCUUUUGCUGUGUUUUGUUUCUUGUGGCUGGCAUAGCCUGCAAAAUAAGUGGUAUAUCUGUUUGUCACAUGGAUAAGUGGAUGAAUGGAGGGAUAGAAAUUAAAAAAAAGAUACAGAAUGAGGGAGGCAGAUAACCUCUUUUGUAGUAUAUGGGUUAUGAUGCUUUUGCCUGAAAAUGAAAGAAUAUAGGACUGAAAAUGCGAAGUUUAUUAUCUUAUAUAAGAAGUCCAGUGACAGACUCCUCCAGGAUUGUUCUAUGGUUCAGUGAUGUUAUCCAGGGCCCAGUUUCUUUUGGUUUUUGUGUGUUGGCAUUCUCCUCUGAAGUGAAUUGAUUCACAGCCCACUCCUCACGGCUGCAAGAUGGCAGCAGCAGCCUGAAGUGUCAGAUUCUCAGAAAAAUAGUCUCCAGGGUAAGAAAAGAAGCUGUUCCUUCUUACAUCUUUUUUCUCAAGAGAAAGAAAAGCUGUAUCUGUCCUAAAAGAAUGGAUUGUACUGCAGUAACAAAUAACUUCCAAACCUUAGUGGCUUAAAAACAAUAAAAGUUGGUUGGUUGCUCAUUCUCCAUGUCCCACACAGAUUUGCUGCCUCACUGUAAUAGACCCAGACUGGUCCAUUGUUGGGGCUCUCAUCUUUAAAAGAACUUGAAGUUUUGUGGUGGUAAGGGAAGAGAAGGCUGCUGGUACAUUUUUGGGCCUGAAGAAGUUUCCUCUUAGAGUUCGUGUGACUUUCUCUUAGAUUUGUUUGGCCGGAAUGUGGCCCUGGCCCUGCCUCACUUAUAGGGGAGAGGGAGGCACAGUUUUCCAUGUACCCAGAAGUAGAGGAGAACUAGAUAUUAGUGAGCAUUACCUGUGUCUUCCAAAACAGCUUUUCCAAGAAGUUCCAAGCCUCUUUGCCCUCUUUGUCCAGAAUUGGGUCAUGUGAUCACGACUAAAUUAAAACCUUAUCCAGGAGAAUGGAGUAACUGUCUACCCUGUGGGGCAAAGACACAUUUGUGCCAGCAAGUCAGGAAGCACACUGAUCUGGGUAAGCAAAUAUCAGUACCCACUGCUUGCUAUUAAAGGACUUGUUUGGCAAUACCCGUGAGUCAAUUUGAAAGGUGUUUGUUUUUUUUUUAACUCAGUGUGAAUUUUAUUUUAUUUUAUUUUAUUUUACUUUAUUUUUUAUGAUUUUUAUUUUUCCAUUAUGAUUUUUAUAUUCUUUUUCUUACAUUAUCCUCCAUCAUGUUCCAUCACAAGUGACUGGGUAUAGUUCCCUGUGUUAUACAGCAAGAUCUCAUUGCUUAUCCACCCCAAAUGCCAUAGUUUGCGUCUAUUAACCCCAGACUCCCAAUCCAUCCCACUCCCUCCCUGAAAGGUCUUUCAUGAGAGGGUUUCCUUUCAAAUUUGGAGAAUCAUGGCUUCUGUGGGUGACCACCAUGCUCACUGACCAUUCCUUAACUUUCAUGGUGGAAUUGAGCCAAAAUAGAUCCUGCAGUGGAUACUGUUAAGGAUUUUGCCUUCAUCCCCCUAAUAGCUUUGAGGGAUGAAUGAUGAACGUUAGACAGUAAGAAAAGCUCUGGAUUGUUAGAUUUCCCAGAAAAAUGAAUUCAAAAAGCAACCAAACAAAAGUCUCUGAAGGAAGGUAAAGACUCCUCUUACUCAGUUCAUGAGGGACCGUUGAAUUCAGAAGGUUCUUUUAGUUUCUUCCUCUCCCUUUCUCUCUACCCAUCCAUCCCUCUCAUAAUGCAAAACAGCAUAAAGUACAUUACCCAAUUUUGCCAUGGUUUUAGUCCUCAGAUGUUUAUGAUUCUGUGGCAGCAUGGGGGCAACUGAAGUGAAUGGCUGAAAGGGGAAGGGGGGAAUUGCAGCAGAUGGUUGAAAUUCCAGAAAAGCCAGCCACGGCACCCCCACGAAGAUUUCAAUGGUGCUAUUUCGAGGUGGGUACAAACCUGGAAGUUUUUUUACUUACAGCCUCCUUAAAAGAAAAAGCAGAGGGUUGGUAGAAGAGCCUAACGUUUCUAGUACCAACUUGAUCCAGCCCCCAAACAGGCAUGCAGUGUGUGUGUGUGUGUGUGUGUGUGUGUGUGUGUGUGUGUGUGUGACAUAUGGCAAUUUGAAACAGUUAAACAUAUGAAGAAUGUUUUUCAUUCACAGAUGGUUUAAAAAAAAAGGCAUUUAUUUUUUCAUAUAACACAUUCCCGGAGUUUGGAGCCAAGUGCCUCCAGGGAGGGUCACAAAUCCACUUGGUGCCCUCAACGACUCAGGUUUAUGUUUGAAGGUCUGCUUCAGCAGAAAGAUGAGUAAAAUUGUGGUUAAGUCAGACAUUCCCUGGUGGCUCUGGGGGCCUAGGGGCACUGGUUAUUUCAACAAGGCUAUAUGAAAAAGUCCAAUUCGUAACAUUUGCUUGAGAUGGAUCCACCUGUUCAAGGCAGCCGAAGGAACAAAAUUUAUCCAUUGGGCUAAAUCCUUCUCAUGGCACUUAGCCGGCGCCUGGUACCACAGCUCUUCUGGGGCUGCAGAGAGGGGGAUGGAGGUGGUUUUCCUGUGGUAACUACAUAGUCUUUCUCUCCACUGAGUAAAGCGUUGCUGCUUUCCAAGGUUUUUCCUGCUGUUAUGAGAGCAAAUUGGGUAUCCAGAGUGUCCAAUCAGGGCAUCAAGGCUCUGCACGAUUUGCAAAGACAAUUAUUCCACAGAGGCUUUUGACAGUGGGAAAGGAGAGUUAAUUAAAUCUCAUUGUAAAAUUAAAGAGCAUAACUAUAUAUUUUAGAACUAGUGCAAUUAUGCCUUAUCUUGGAGUGUUGUAAAUUCUUUGUGACUGUGAUGUAUUAUCAGAAAUUUUCAUAGAAUUUUAGAACUCCAGGGGCUUUAGAGAUCAUGAAGUAGAGCAACUUCCUUUUAUAAAGAUGAAAACAGACCCAGAGAGGUUAUGCGACAGACUAAAACCUAUAACAAGCCUCCUGACGCAAAACCGGGCACUCUUGGCAUUUCGUUUGAUUUGCAUUUUGCACGGAGAUGAAGGCAAAACCAGGUGAAAAUAGCAGAUGGUCAAAAUAGCCUCUGAAAAUCUCUUAGAAAGUCACCAUGCUGGAAACAAACACGCGUCCUCCAUUGAGUCCAACACGGCCAAGUUUUCCUUCAGAGGAGAACGUUGUUCUUCAGUUAUGCACCAAUGAACUAGUGGGUUGGGAGAUAGAAGCCCUGUUGUGUAGAGAAGCGGUCUUUUAAGGUCAAAAAUCACCGUUUGUAAAGAUGUUCCAACCAUGAGAGCCCAGAACUCAUGGACCAGGAGAGUCCUUACUUCAGUGAAGAUCCAAGCAGACACUGCCAUCUCCAAACUUUCUCUGAGCUUCACCUCUCUGGUACUUUGCCCUGUGAACCUUGCCUUCCCUGGCCUCUCAGAAUUCUGACCUCUGUCUCCUCAACUUAGCAAGUCUGUGGGCUCUUUCGAGUCUCCCUCCCUGGGCCAGAACCUGAAGACUCUCCCCAGGCACUAGGCUACGGCCACCACAGCCUCCCCUUAGUUGUUUCUCUCCUUUCUGGGUUUACUGUUGUGUUAGGGUUCUCCAGAAAAAAAAAGAACCAAUAGAAUAUGCUUGUGAGAUUUAUUAUGGGGAAUUGGCUCAUGCAUUUAUGGAGGCCAACAGGUCCCAAGAUCUGUAGUCAGCAAGCUGGAGACCCAGGAGUGCUAAUGGUGUAGUUUUGGUACAAGACCAGAUGCUUGAGAAGAAGAUGGGAUAGUUCUAGUUGAAAGCUGGCAGACUUGAGGUCCAGGAAGAGCCAAUAACAAAUGAGAUCCUGCUGUAAAGCACAGGGAGUUAUAUCUAAUCACUUGUGAUGGAACAUGAUGGAGGAUAAUGUGAGAAAUAGAAUAUAUGUGUGUGUGUGUGUGUGUGUGUGUGUGUGUGUGGUGUGUGUGUGUGUGUGUGUGUGUGUGUAUUAUGAGUUCCUUUGUGGCUCGGUGGUUAACAAACCCAACUAGGAUCCAUGAAGAUGUGGGUUCGAUCCCUGGCCUCACUGAGUGGGUUAAGGAUCCAGUAUUGCUGUGGCUAUGGUGUAGGCGGUGCAGCUCCAAUUUGACCCCUAGCCUGGGAACCUACAUAUGCCA